AUAAUACUCCCUCCCUCCGGAAAUACUUGUCGGAGAAAUGAGUGUAUCUAGAUGAUACAUCCAUUUUUAUCUAUUUUUCCGACAAUUAAUUCCGGACAGAGGGAGUAUUUC
Non-coding RNA from Hordeum vulgare subsp. vulgare (domesticated barley), 111 nucleotides. Lineage: Eukaryota; Viridiplantae; Streptophyta; Magnoliopsida; Poales; Poaceae. The record is from Rfam.